CCUACGUGAGGCAGCAGUGAGGAAUAUUGGUCAAUGGCCGCGAGGCUGAACCAGCCAAGUCGCGUGAGGGAAGACUGUCCUAUGGGUUGUACACCUCUUUUCUAAGGGAGCAAAGUCACCCACGUGUGGGUUUUGGAAAGUACCUGAUGAAAAAGCAUCGGCUAACUCCGUGCCAGCAGCCGCGGUAAUACGGAGGAUGCGAGCGUUAUCCGGAUUUCUUGGGUUUAAAGGGUGCGUAGGCGGGUUAUCAAGUCAGCGGUAAAAUCUUGGGGCUCAACUCCAUCCAGCCGUUGAAACUGUUGGUCUUGAGUGGGCGAGAAGUAUGCGGAAUGCGUGGUGUAGCGGUGAAAUGCAUAGAUAUCACGCAGAACUCCGAUUGCGAAGGCAGCAUACCGGCGCCCGACUGACGCUGAGGCACGAAAGCGUGGGUAUCGAACAGGAUUAGAUACCCCGGUAGUC
This 459-nucleotide ribosomal RNA is filed under the name uncultured bacterium. RNAcentral's name for it is "partial 16S ribosomal RNA". It matches the Rfam family "Bacterial small subunit ribosomal RNA", at positions 338 to 795 of the family's 1533-position model. The record is from RNAcentral.